GCCGUGAGGUAAACAAGGAACGCGGACUUCGGCGACCUGGUGAAAUGUCGAGUUAUUCACUUGGGGUGACUUCAUCUUCAAGAAGUAAUCCUAAACCUGGCGCUCGGAGCUUUAAUUUGGGGGGUUAUGUUGGAGCCAGCCAAAAAUGUAUUUUUUUUUUGAAGGAUAUGACUGCUACACCAUUCAGCUGAGAGCCCCGAACCACAUCCAGGUUACUGUAUGGACCAGCAAGUCAUCUCAACACCAUCCAUUUCUCACAAGAUUUUAGGAAAUUUGUGGAGUUCGAACUGGUUUUGAACCUCCAAAAUGGAAGCUGUCUAGACGACGUGUUAGAGAGGACAAACGAAUGAUGCAUUUUUACAGUUCUAAAAUUUCAUAUACACAAAUGUUUCAAUUCCUUACUUUUAGUUGCAUAUAAUUCUUGAAUGUUACUACUGCUUGAAGCUUCAUGUUCUUAUCACAUAAUGCAUCUGUACAGUAUAUAAAUCGAUGAAAAGCUUGUUCUAUAUCACUUUACAUGUUGUUUUUAGUGCUCCGCAGUCUUUGUGUUGCUGUCUACUUUAUCAUCCGGGUAAUUCAAAAGCUCCU
Molecule: long non-coding RNA, 588 nt
Organism: Liolophura sinensis
Lineage: Eukaryota; Metazoa; Mollusca; Polyplacophora; Chitonida; Chitonidae
Exons: 3
Source: RefSeq, a predicted model, not a curated record